CUACAAUAAUGGUGAUAUUUUUCAUCAACGCAGUUCACUUAAUGAGUUUUGAUACUUUGGGUCUAAGUGA
Molecule: small nucleolar RNA, 70 nt
Organism: Jaculus jaculus (lesser Egyptian jerboa)
Lineage: Eukaryota; Metazoa; Chordata; Mammalia; Rodentia; Dipodidae
Product: small nucleolar RNA SNORD56
Exons: 1
Source: RefSeq, a predicted model, not a curated record